RNAcentral lists this ribosomal RNA (127 nucleotides) under Enterobacter cloacae. RNAcentral describes it as "partial 16S ribosomal RNA". It matches the Rfam family "Bacterial small subunit ribosomal RNA", at positions 1 to 118 of the family's 1533-position model. The record is from RNAcentral. Lineage: Bacteria; Pseudomonadati; Pseudomonadota; Gammaproteobacteria; Enterobacterales; Enterobacteriaceae.
UUAAAUUGAAGAGUUUGAUCAUGGCUCAGAUUGAACGCUGGCGGCAGGCCUAACACAUGCAAGUCGAACGGUAACAAGAAGCAGCUUGCUGCUUUGCUGACGAGUGGCGGACGGGUGAGUAAUGUCU